UCAGGAGGUGCAGCAAGUUAACGGGGAAGUUUGGCAUGAUCUUGCCCUUGGCCAAGAGUAGAAGUUUCAAUUAACUAGUGCCAGUGUGUCAUGCUUAUAGCAGUAAGUAGAUGAUAUUGCUUCCAGUUACUGGACUAAGCUUCUUCCUUUCUAUGUACGGGAUGAAUAUCAAGAAAUUUGCGUUCGUUUCUGGUUGCUUGCUGUCUUAAAUGCACUCUUUUUGUAUUUUUGCUUUGCAUUCUAAAGGCAAGAUAUGCAUAAUGAUAGAUUUAGUGUCGCGCAGCACAAAUCUGUAAUAGAAUUUGUUACUGGUGUUUAUAGUGUGGGAAAUGAAAUGAAGGAGAGGGAGUUUAAAUAAAAUCUGUAGUUUAUUUUAAAAGUUUGAAGGAGG
This 391-nucleotide long non-coding RNA is filed under the name Lathyrus oleraceus (garden pea). Its description in RNAcentral is "Pisum sativum (pea) long non-coding RNA (PSAT_LNC008441)". Lineage: Eukaryota; Viridiplantae; Streptophyta; Magnoliopsida; Fabales; Fabaceae. The record is from RNAcentral.